CUUGCAGAAACAACACAAAUGUGGCACAUUUGGAGGCCGGCAGCAAGGACAUUACCAUCAUCUCCCAGCCUUUGGAUCAAAGGAGGGGCAAUUUCAACCAAGGCUUGAGCAAAUCAACUCAAAAGGGCGUGCUGUCCUGCUCUUUUGGUUAAAAUCAUAGUUCUUUCCAUCUUUUUGGGCAACAGAGGAAGAAAAAAAAACUUUAUUUUUUUUUUCCAAAAGCAGACCAACAAUCCAAGAAAACUUUGUCUUUUAACAGAGAGUAAAUCAGAAUUUUAAUCUUAUACCAGUGGUUUCGCUGAAGUGAAACCAACCUGAGCAUCUUAUCAGGCAUCUGAGUUAUCACCACUAGUUUGUCACCUUAGCAACAGGAAAGUUCUAGAAGAGCCAGCCUUGUGGUAUCUCCCCACAGAAAGGUUCUGUCUCCCAAAUAGCAGAAGUGCUUCACCCCAACUACGCAGGCAUGGCUUGCAGGGCUCAGGGAUGCCACCAGCCAGCUGUGGCACCAGGGGCGAGUUCCCUGGCCAGCCAGGCCACCCAUAAUGAAGAUCAGAUAGGGUCACUUACGUCAUGAGCAAGGAAAGGGCCUGGCUGUGACAGGCUGUCUUAGGAUUCACCAUUGCCGUCCUGGACUGCUAGGCAUGGAACAUCGUGUGACCAACAUGAAGUUCUUCUCCCAGCCCACUGAUGGAGGGUCACGUUCCCCUCCCACAGACAGCAGGAUCCUGCCAGGAGCCCAGGCUCAGCAGAGACAUCCUCACCAUCCCCCAUGUUAUCACCAUGACAGCUCAGAGAGAGCCCCAGUGACCUGUGUCACAAUAGGAUCUUGUAGACAUGACUGUGACCUCCAAGCCUGGGUCAUAAAAGACAAUCACCCUGCCAGGCUGUCUCUGAGAGCAGCCAGCCACCAUGCCCUGCAGAUGCCCAAGCAGUCCUGUGGAGAGCCAUGUAUGGGAGGAACCAGCCGUGUGAGGGAUUGCCGGGGAAGGGAGUCUUCUGGCCUCAGUCACACCUUCAGAUGAGACCACAGUCCCAAACACCCACCCAACUGCUCCCAAAUUGCUGACCUCCAGAAACCAGGAGAGCUCAUAUGUGUUGAUCGUUAUACGACUGAAUUAUGGACCCAAGACCUCUCUCCCCUGCUGGCUCUCCAAUUCAGUCCGAAGAUGGGGACAGAGACCACGGGAAGGUCACAGCACUUCUAAACCCUCUGGACUGGAAGUGGCACUUGCUGGACCCACUCAUGUUCCACUGAAAUGAAUUACUUUCUUGUGUCAUUUCCACUCACAUCUCUGCCUUUGGAUUCUGUCGGCAUCGAGUGCCCCCACCCGGGGCGCUGUUUGGUGACCCUGGAUUGGAGAUCUUGCCCCCCUUGGCCCUGUCACAGGACACUGAAAGUUGCAGGGGAGAGAUGAGGCCGAGCCCUCCUGGGGAGACCUGGUGCACUGGCAGGGAAGAACCCCGGGCAUCACCUCCCAGGGAGGAAGAAGGGGAGCCCACGCCUGCAGCAGGUGCGGCUGAGCCCCUGACGCCCUGAGAGACUGCACAAGACUGGAGCCAGGGAAGCUCUCAUCCAAGUUGGAAUAUGAAGAGGAGAGUUCCCCUCGGGAUCUUUCUGGAUGCAGAUCCUACAUUGCUGGAGGUUUACCUCAGAAGAAACCCCAAGAAUGGAACUUCUGACUUGUCCUGUAAUGUCCUCCCUGGAGGGAAGGUCUGCAUGAGUGACAAGAUGGUUCUUCCACGUGGCUGUGGGCAGCUGUGGGGCCUCCAGGCAGGUGCUGCUCUGCCCUCAGUGGUGCCCCUGCUCUGCGCCCGUCCUCCCUUCUCCUGGUGUCUGUGAAACAAGCAGAGAAAUGGAAGAGCCGGUGAAACUUGGAAGAAGCCGUGUCCCUUUACGUGUUUGGGACCGUCAGACCUGACGCUCACGGGAUCGCUAUUUGGCCCCAGCAGCCCCCUGAGAUGCAACGCAACGUCCCCGGUCAGCAGGGGCAGCCACUAUAGUCCUCAGUGAUCCAGCCCAGGGCCCAUCAGCGCUGUGGCCGAGACUUGGGCUGCAGAGGCUGGAAUGUGGCCUCUGAACAGCCUGCUGUGCACAGAGAAGGAAGAACAUGAAAACGUGAGCAAUGAAGCCAACAAUAACCCAUCAUUUAAAUCCUGCUUCUCACACUUUGUCUUGGAAACAAAAGUGAUCCAAGGAAUUCAUGCCCAGUCUCCACCCAACAGAACCCUGCUGAGGCAUCGAUGGCCUUGCAGAUCCUCUCCAGCAGGGCCUUCCAGGCUGGUGUGCUUCCUCCACCAGAAAUGUGAAAUCUUCUGUCACCAUAUACAUUUGGGAAAUGCCAGGAGCAUCUCCUCGGGAUUCAGCCCCAAAACGGAUGGGCAUGCGCACUGGGCAGGACCGAGCAGUGGAAGCUGAGUGCCAAUGUGAGUGUAAGUGGUCGGGCCACCUGGCAAGCAUCUGGCAGCUUCCCCUGGAGGGAAGCACUCACCUGGCCUAUUAACCGGGACAAAUGAAAAUACAUGCCCUCCACCCCCGCCAAGGCCACCUGCCCCUGUUUGGACAAUCACCUGUCUGGACAAGGAGGCCAGCACAUCCUGCAUGUUGGUGCGGGGGGGGGGGGACUCAAGCCCCAGAGUGUCAAGGGCACAGUGCUGGCUGCCAUCCGCCUCUGCCCACUGGGAAUGCUCCGGGGAGGGGCCUCUAACCAGACUUGAUAGAACAUAUAGACUGCACACUUUUGUGUGGACUCUUGACACUCAGAACCAUGUCUCAGAGAUUCAUCUGUUUCCUGGCGUGGACCCUUCAUUUUCUGUGGCUGAGUGGUGUUCUACCAUGUGAACACUCCGGGAUUCCUUUGUCUGCUUGGAUGGUUCUUAAUUUGAGGUUACAAUAUAGCUGCUAUGAACAUUC
Molecule: long non-coding RNA, 2911 nt
Organism: Felis catus (domestic cat)
Lineage: Eukaryota; Metazoa; Chordata; Mammalia; Carnivora; Felidae
Exons: 8
Source: RefSeq, a predicted model, not a curated record